Molecule: ribosomal RNA, 492 nt
Filed under: uncultured bacterium
Lineage: Bacteria
Description: partial 16S ribosomal RNA
Rfam family: Bacterial small subunit ribosomal RNA
Source: RNAcentral
AGUGAACGCUGGCGGUAGGCCUAACACAUGCAAGUCGAACGGCAGCACAGUAAGAACUUGCUCUAAAGGGUGGCGAAUGGAGGACGGGUGAGGAAUACAUCGGAAUCUACUUUUUCGUGGGGGAUAACGUAGGGAAACUUACGCUAAUACCGCAUACGACCUACGGGUGAAAGCAGGGGAUCUUCGGACCUUGCGCGAUUGAAUGAGCCGAUGUCGGAUUAGCUAGUUGGCGGGGUAAAGGCCCACCAAGGCGACGAUCCGUAGCUGGUCUGAGAGGAUGAUCAGCCACACUGGAACUGAGACACGGUCCAGACUCCUACGGGAGGCAGCAGUGGGGAAUAUUGGACAAUGGGCGCAAGCCUGAUCCAGCCAUACCGCGUGGGUGAAGAAGGCCUUCGGGUUGUAAAGCCCUUUUGUUGGGAAAGAAAAGCAGCAGGUUAAUACCCCGCUGUUCUGACGGUACCCAAAGAAUAAGCACCGGCUAACUUCGUG